CAGCCGCCGCGGUAAUACGGAGGGGGCUAGCGUUGUUCGGAAUUACUGGGCGUAAAGCGCACGUAGGCUGCUUUGUAAGUCAGAUGUGAAAUCCCCGGGCUCAACCUGGGAACUGCAUUUGUGACUGGCAAGCUAGAGUCUGGCAGAGGGGGGUGGAAUUCCGCGUGUAGCAGUGAAAUGCGUAGAUAUGCGGAGGAACACCGAUGGCGAAGGCAAUCCCCUGGACCUGUACUGACGCUCAUGCACGAAAGCGUGGGGAGCAAACAGGAUUAGAUACCCCCGUAGUCCCUGUCUCUUAUAC
Molecule: ribosomal RNA, 301 nt
Filed under: uncultured bacterium
Lineage: Bacteria
Description: partial 16S ribosomal RNA
Rfam family: Bacterial small subunit ribosomal RNA
Source: RNAcentral